Molecule: ribosomal RNA, 901 nt
Filed under: uncultured Bacillota bacterium
Lineage: Bacteria; Bacillati; Bacillota
Description: bacterial SSU rRNA
Rfam family: Bacterial small subunit ribosomal RNA
Source: RNAcentral
UGGAUCCAGACUUUGAUUAUGGCUCAGGAUGAACGCUGGCGGCGUGCCUAACACAUUCAAGUCGAACGGACGAAGAGGAGCUUGCUCCUCCGAGUUAGUGGCGGACGGGUGAGUAACGCGUGAGCAACCUGCCUUUGUGCGGGGGAUAACACAGGGAAACCUGUGCUAAUACCGCAUAACAUAUGACUACAGCAUUGUAGACAUAUCAAAGAUUUAUUGCACGAAGAUGGGCUCGCGUCUGAUUAGAUAGUUGGUGAGGUAACGGCUCACCAAGUCGACGAUCAGUAGCCGGACUGAGAGGUUGAACGGCCACAUUGGAACUGAGAUACGGUCCAGACUCCUACGGGAGGCAGCAGUGGGGAAUAUUGGGCAAUGGACGAAAGCCUGACCCAGCGACGCCGCGUGAAGGAAGAAGGCCUUCGGGUUGUAAACUUCAGUCAACAGGGAAGAAAGAAAUGACGGUACCUGUGGAGGAAGCCACGGCUAACUACGUGCCAGCAGCCGCGGUAAUACGUAGGUGGCGAGCGUUAUCCGGAUUUACUGGGUGUAAAGGGUGUGUAGGCGGGAUUGCAAGUCAGAUGUGAAAAUUACGGGCUCAACUCGUAACCUGCAUUUGAAACUGUAAUUCUUGAGUGUCGGAGAGGUAAACGGAAUUCCCAGUGUAGCGGUGAAAUGCGUAGAUAUUGGGAGGAACACCAGUGGCGAAGGCGGUUUACUGGACGGCAACUGACGCUGAGACACGAAAGCGUGGGGGGCAAACAGGAUUAGAUACCCUGGUAGUCCACGCCGUAAACGAUGAAUGCUAGGUGUAGGCAUGAAUGUGUCUGUGCCGCAGCUAACGCAAUAAGCAUUCCACCUGGGGAGUACGGCCGCAAGGUUGCAACUCAAAUGAAUUGACGGA